UGGUCUAUUAGCUCAGUCGGUAGAGCACCUGCCUUACAAGCAGGGGGUCACAGGUUCGAGCCCUGUUGGUCCCACCA
RNAcentral lists this transfer RNA (77 nucleotides) under Clostridioides difficile. RNAcentral describes it as "tRNA-Val(tac)". It matches the Rfam family "tRNA". Rfam says of the family: Transfer RNA (tRNA) molecules are approximately 80 nucleotides in length. The record is from RNAcentral. Lineage: Bacteria; Bacillati; Bacillota; Clostridia; Peptostreptococcales; Peptostreptococcaceae.